This 72-nucleotide ribosomal RNA is filed under the name Krameria paucifolia. RNAcentral describes it as "partial 5.8S ribosomal RNA". It matches the Rfam family "5.8S ribosomal RNA", at positions 1 to 65 of the family's 154-position model. From Rfam's summary of the family: 5.8S ribosomal RNA (5.8S rRNA) is a component of the large subunit of the eukaryotic ribosome. It is transcribed by RNA polymerase I as part of the 45S precursor that also contains 18S and 28S rRNA. Functionally, it is thought that 5.8S rRNA may be involved in ribosome translocation. The record is from RNAcentral. Lineage: Eukaryota; Viridiplantae; Streptophyta; Magnoliopsida; Zygophyllales; Krameriaceae.
UAAGCACGACUCCCGGCAAUGGAUAUCUCGGCUCUCGCAUCGAUGAAGAACGUAGCGAAAUGCGAUACUUGG